UGCAUGUAGGUCGUUUGACGGGGCAACCGGGUUACCGCAGGUGAAUUGACGGAAUAACGAGAGGGUGAUCUGAUUUGCAAUUCGGGUUAAGCCUGGUGUCCUGGGUCUAAUGCCGGAUAUUACCUCAGAAUGCUUGUUCUGGAGUGGAAAGAUUUAUCGGUGCGAGAUGGGCCCGCGGCCUAUCAGCUUGUUGGUGAGGUAACGGCUCACCAAGGCGACGACGGGCAGCCGACCUGAGAGGGUGACGGGCCACACUGGGACUGAGACACGGCCCAGACUCCUACGGGAGGCAGCAGUGGGGAAUAUUGCACAAUGGGCGCAAGCCUGAUGCAGCGACGCCGCGUGCGGGAUGACGGCCUUCGGGUUGUAAACCGCUUUUGACAGGGACGAAGCGCAAGUGACUGUACCUGUAGAAUAAGGACCGGCCAACUACGUGCCAGCAGCCGCGGUAAUACGUAGGGUCCGAGCGUUGUCCGGAAUUACUGGGCGUAAAGAGCUUGUAGGCGGUUCGUCGCGUCGUUUGUGAAAACUUGGGGCUCAACCUUAAGCUUGCAGGCGAUACGGGCGGACUAGAGUACUUCAGGGGAGACUGGAAUUCCUGGUGUAGCGGUGAAAUGCGCAGAUAUCAGGAGGAGCACCAGUGGCGAAGGCGGGUCUCUGGGAAGUAACUGACGCUGAGAAGCGAAAGCAUGGGUAGCAAACAGGAUUAGAUACCCUGGUAGUCCAUGCCGUAAACGGUGGGUACUAGGUGUGGGGCUCCUUCCACGGACUCCGUGCCGUAGCUAACGCAUUAAGUACCCCGCCUGGGGAGUACGGCCGCAAGGCUAAAACUCAAAUGAAUUGACGGGG
Molecule: ribosomal RNA, 849 nt
Filed under: uncultured Actinomycetes bacterium
Lineage: Bacteria; Bacillati; Actinomycetota; Actinomycetes
Description: bacterial SSU rRNA
Rfam family: Bacterial small subunit ribosomal RNA
Source: RNAcentral